GAUGAACGCUAGCGACAGGCCUAACACAUGCAAGUCGAGGGGCAGCACAUGAGUAGCAAUACGAUGGUGGCGACCGGCGCACGGGUGAGUAUCGCGUAUGCAACCUACCUUCCACAGGGGGAUAGCCAUCCGAAAGGGAGAUUAAUACCGCAUAAAACAGGGGCCCCGCAUGGGGAUAUUUGUUAAAGAUUUAUCGGUGGGAGAUGGGCAUGCGUUCCAUUAGCUAGUUGGCGGGGUAAUGGCCCACCAAGGCAUCGAUGGAUAGGGGAACUGAGAGGUUUAUCCCCCACACUGGAACUGAGACACGGUCCAGACUCCUACGGGAGGCAGCAGUGAGGAAUAUUGGUCAAUGGGCGGGAGCCUGAACCAGCCAAGUCGCGUGAAGGAAGACGGUUCUAUGGAUUGUAAACUUCUCUUGCACUGGGGUAAAACGGGGGACGUGUCCCCCCUUGCAAGUACAGUGCGAAUAAGCAUCGGCUAACUCCGUGCCAGCAGCCGCCGUAA
This 504-nucleotide ribosomal RNA is filed under the name uncultured bacterium. Its description in RNAcentral is "partial 16S ribosomal RNA". It matches the Rfam family "Bacterial small subunit ribosomal RNA", at positions 28 to 523 of the family's 1533-position model. The record is from RNAcentral.